CGAAGGGGGCAAGCGUUGUUCGGAAUUACUGGGCGUAAAGGGCGCGUAGGUCGGCUUAUCAAGUCAGGCGUGAAAUUCCCGGGCUCAACCUGGGGGCUGCGCUUGAUACUGAUUGGCUUGAAUGCGGGAGAGGAUAGUGGAAUUCCCAGUGUAGAGGUGAAAUUCGUAGAUAUUGGGAAGAACACCGGUGGCGAAGGCGGCUAUCUGGCCCGUAAUUGACGCUGAGGCGCGAAAGCGUGGGGAGCAAACGAGGAUUAGAUACCCUGGUAGUCCACGCCGUAAACGAUGAAUGCUAGACGUUGGCGAGCAUGCUCGUCAGUGUCGGAGCUAACGCAUUAAGCGAUUCCGCCUGGGGAGUACGGUCGCAAAGAUUA
RNAcentral lists this ribosomal RNA (374 nucleotides) under uncultured organism. RNAcentral's name for it is "bacterial SSU rRNA". It matches the Rfam family "Bacterial small subunit ribosomal RNA", at positions 526 to 896 of the family's 1533-position model. The record is from RNAcentral.